RNAcentral lists this ribosomal RNA (51 nucleotides) under Emericellopsis sp. RNAcentral describes it as "partial 28S ribosomal RNA". The record is from RNAcentral. Lineage: Eukaryota; Fungi; Ascomycota; Sordariomycetes; Hypocreales; Bionectriaceae. RNAcentral also lists the same sequence under 2 other names.
GGUUGACCUCAGAUCAGGUAGGAAUACCCGCUGAACUUAAGCAUAUCAAUA